This 244-nucleotide ribosomal RNA is filed under the name uncultured bacterium. Its description in RNAcentral is "partial 16S ribosomal RNA". It matches the Rfam family "Bacterial small subunit ribosomal RNA", at positions 90 to 334 of the family's 1533-position model. The record is from RNAcentral.
CGUUAGUGGCGGACGGGUGAGUAACGCGUGGGUAACCUGCCUUAUACAGGGGGAUAACAACCAGAAAUGGUUGCUAAUACCGCAUAAGCGCACAGGACCGCAUGGUCUAGUGUGAAAAACUCCGGUGGUAUAAGAUGGACCCGCGUUGGAUUAGCUAGUUGGCAGGGUAACGGCCUACCAAGGCGACGAUCCAUAGCCGGCCUGAGAGGGUGAACGGCCACAUUGGGACUGAGACACGGCCCAG